CAGCAGUGGGGAAUCUUGCGCAAUGGGCGAAAGCCUGACGCAGCCAUGCCGCGUGAAUGAUGAAGGUCUUAGGAUUGUAAAAUUCUUUCACCGGGGACGAUAAUGACGGUACCCGGAGAAGAAGCCCCGGCUAACUUCGUGCCAGCAGCCGCGGUAAUACGAAGGGGGCUAGCGUUGCUCGGAAUUACUGGGCGUAAAGGGCGCGUAGGCGGACAUUUAAGUCAGGGGUGAAAUCCCAGAGCUCAACUCUGGAACUGCCUUUGAUACUGGGUGUCUUGAGUGUGAGAGAGGUAUGUGGAACUCCGAGUGUAGAGGUGAAAUUCGUAGAUAUUCGGAAGAACACCAGUGGCGAAGGCGACAUACUGGCUCAUUACUGACGCUGAGGCGCGAAAGCGUGGGGAGCAAACAGGAUUAGA
This 416-nucleotide ribosomal RNA is filed under the name uncultured Brevundimonas sp. RNAcentral describes it as "bacterial SSU rRNA". It matches the Rfam family "Bacterial small subunit ribosomal RNA", at positions 349 to 782 of the family's 1533-position model. The record is from RNAcentral. Lineage: Bacteria; Pseudomonadati; Pseudomonadota; Alphaproteobacteria; Caulobacterales; Caulobacteraceae.